CGCCUGGCUCCAGGGAGGCUGCGGCACUGACUGGUGUGUGCCUGAAGCCCGCUUCUGCACAGGAAGUGACCGCGGGUGGUCCCAAGCCUGCCUCACUCUCUUUCCUGAAACAGAUGCUCUCCAGCAGAUUCCUCUCCGUUUCCUCCUCUAUAGGCGGAGGAGGAGCGAGAGAGUCGUCCUGUCUGCCCCUCUAUGCAGACGGUGAAGCAGAGGCACCAGACUCACUGGAGACAUCCUGACACAUAAUGCCUUAUCCAGCACAAUGAGAUGCCCUUUACCUAGUCUUAUGAAGAGCAAAGGUUAUGGUGUGCUCAUCAGAGAAGGCACCAAGAAGAUGAAGGAGAAGCUAAGGGGAGAUGGGUCAGCUUCAAGCCAAGGACCUGCCUCACAGUGGAGAGGCCAGCCAGCAGAAGAGCAUGAGGGAGCUAAAUGCAUUAGUGUUUCAUGUCUCCCUCGCCUUCCAUCAUUAAAGCCUUUCUUGACAGUUCUCCCUACUCAGAAACAUGAAGGAAUUGUCAGAAAUCUGGUUUAGCUUAAGCACUACACACACACAACUUGGGGUAGAUUAUUUGAGGAUAGAAACCUGUUUGAGAUAAAGGAAAGCAGUCCUUGUGCCCAGGAAUUCUCAUCAAUUUUCCUUAAGAACCUGAAAGGUUUUUUUCUUCUUACCUACAAAGCAUUGAUUCUAUAGUGUGUGUGUGUGUGUGUGUGUGUGUGUCCCACACUGGGGAGAUUAUCAAAAGAUGUUUUUGGAAACAUG
This 760-nucleotide long non-coding RNA is filed under the name Mus spicilegus (steppe mouse). RNAcentral describes it as "lncRNA (ENSMSIG00000029451.1)". The record is from RNAcentral. Lineage: Eukaryota; Metazoa; Chordata; Mammalia; Rodentia; Muridae.